GAGGUUAUAUCUCAGUUGAUAGAGCACUUGCCUCACAUGCACAAAGUCCUGGGUUCAAUCCCCAGUACCACA
RNAcentral lists this transfer RNA (72 nucleotides) under Marmota monax (woodchuck). RNAcentral describes it as "tRNA.Val". Lineage: Eukaryota; Metazoa; Chordata; Mammalia; Rodentia; Sciuridae. The record is from RNAcentral.